This 220-nucleotide ribosomal RNA is filed under the name uncultured Glomus. RNAcentral's name for it is "partial small subunit ribosomal RNA". It matches the Rfam family "Eukaryotic small subunit ribosomal RNA", at positions 591 to 816 of the family's 1831-position model. Lineage: Eukaryota; Fungi; Glomeromycota; Glomeromycetes; Glomerales; Glomeraceae. The record is from RNAcentral.
CCAAUAGCGUAUAUUAAAGUUGUUGCAGUUAAAAAGCUCGUAGUUGAAUUUCGGGAUCAAUUUGCUGGUCGUGCCUUCGGUACGUACUGGUAUUAUUGGUUUCUCCUUUCUGAUGAAUCGCGAUGUCAUUAAUUUGGUGUCGUGGGGAAUCAGGACUGUUACUUUGAAAAAAUUAGAGUGUUUAAAGCAGGCUCACGCUUGAAUACAUUAGCAUGGAAUA